Molecule: long non-coding RNA, 1583 nt
Organism: Orcinus orca (killer whale)
Lineage: Eukaryota; Metazoa; Chordata; Mammalia; Artiodactyla; Delphinidae
Exons: 4
Source: RefSeq, a predicted model, not a curated record
GACGGCGAGGGGCCGGCAGCGCUCCGAGUUCGGCGUGCUUGUGACGCAGCUUUUAAAAAAGGAGACCGAGGCAGAGACCCGGGAGAGGGCGGGCGAGGGGAAGGGAGAGGAAGCGAAGCCUCACGCUGGGUGUCCGUCCUCCGGGCGCCGCUGGGUUGGGAGCUUAGAGGAGCCGAAGCGGGAGCCGGGACUGGGGGAGGCGGGGCCAGGGUGGGCUUUGAGAUGUAGCUCUCUCUCCACCCCCGGCCGCGCUCUGGGAGGGAAACGCGACUGCCGACCCCCCGCCCAUGCUCUCUGCUGAAACCCCAAUCUUAAUCUGGAGGCCCCUGGUUAUGCGCUUCCACCCCAACGUGGGUGGGGAAAGCAGCACUAUCUUAAUUCUAGUAGCAACCCCUGAAUUCACCUCCCCCCUAAAUUAAUUACCCCUCCCUUGCCUGCUAAACCAGUUGGGACUGGCCCUAAAAGGGUUAAUUAGGUGAGGUCCCGGCGCUCCCUCGCCUAAUUGCCUGCGAUCUGUGUUUUGCUGGGAGAAGGGCGGGCAGCGAAAUGACCGCCAGUUUGGACUAGGCCUGGGGAAGAAGAGGAAACCAUCAUUGGAGCAGCUCUGGAAACUGUGCUGCAGGCAAAAAUGGGAGAAGUCACAGAUGCCUGGCAGAUAGCCCUGGGGUGUGAGUUUCUCCAGUUGCGGCAAGCGGGCGCUACUCUUCGUUGAGGGAUAUUGCAAGGAGACAGCAAGCUCAAGACUGUAAACCAUUCCUCAACUGUGGGUUGUUUGGGGCUAAAAAUAAAGCACUAAAAGGAAUAUUGCCUGAAAGUUUGCAUCUCCCUGAAAGAAUAACUGUAAACCAGGUAUAUUAAUUAUCUAUUACUAUGCAACAAGAUACCCUCAAAUUCAGCACCUUAGACAACAAACUUUUGUUAUCUCCCUUGGUUUCUUUUUAUUUUUUUAUUUUUUAUCUUUUUUCCCUCAGUUUCUGAGGGUCAGGAAUCCAGGAGUGGGUAAGCUGUUGGUUCUCGCUCAGAGUCUCUCACAAGGUUGUAGUCAAACUGUUGUCCAGGUCUUCAGUCAUCUUGACUGGGGCUAGAGAAUAAGCUUCCAUGUUCACUCUAGUGGUUAUUGGCAGGCCUUAGUUCUUCAAUGGCUGUUGGACAGAGGCUUCAAUUUUUUGCCACAUGGGACUCUCCAUGGGGCUGCUCACCAUAUGGCACGCUGCUGUCACUAGAGUAAGAGAUCAGAGAGAGAGAGAGAGAAACAAAAACACCUGGGCUGAAGCCUCAGUCGUUUUAUCAUCUAAUCUUGGAAGUGACAUAUCAUCACUUCUGCCUUAUCUUAUUGGUUACACAGACCAACCCUGGUACAAAUGGGGAGAGAACUACAUAAGAGUGUGAAUAACAGGAGGCAGAGGUUAUUGGGACCCAUCCUGGGGGUUUUCAAUGACAACAGGUCUGGUCCUUAGUGUUGCAGGUCUGGAGGUUUAAUUUAGGAAGUUAAUCAGAAUUCAUCAGAUUCAGGAAACUGAUUCACACAAAUUAAAUACACAUGAAACAUUAUCUUGGUACUACUCUGCCUCUUUUCUAGAACU